AUGCUGCCAAUAUCUCCUUUUCAGUUGGAGUGUAGUGGGCCUCAGAUCCUCUGUAUCCCUGACUCCAAAACCCCAGGGGUCGACCUCGAGUUUCCCCAGGUGCCAGAGGCUCCAUGUGGGGCCAUUCUCCCCAGCUACAGUGUAGAGCACAUUCUUUACAUCUGGUCCUGUUCGGAUUGGCCCAAGGGCUACUGCAUGAACUAUUUCCUGCUUAAUUUGUUCAAAGGCUUGUCGUUGCUCAGGGGUGAAUUUCCAAAACACUGGAGGUGUCCACUGCUCUAGAAACCUGCCCAUAUCCUCCCACACUUCCUGCCACUCAAAACUAUCCCGCCUAAGGACAGAUCUCCGGAUGAGAUUCCUAAGUAGUUGUUUAACCUUAAACAAAACCUGAAGCGCAUUCAGGAAACAUAACAAUAACACCAUAUUAGUCUGAACAUCCCAAGGAUAUCCAACAUCUUGGAGAACUAUCGUAACUAGCUCAAAGGAUAAGAGGGUGGUGAAGGAGAAAGGGAGAUUGAACAAGUAGGAAAAAAUAUCUUCCCCUGUCCCCUCCACAGAUUGGCUCCCUGACGAAAAAAGGCAAUAGGUGUAAUUGUUAAUAGUUUCCAAGAUAUGGUUUCCAAAGUAUAGAGUCGACGACAGUGCUGAGUACUAAUACGAGUUUAGGGUCAUGACCAGACAUUUCAUCAUAUCAUAAGCCAUUGUUACACUGCACAGUACCAUAAAGAUCUUACACUAGGGCCCGAAAAGGAUAAACAGCAUGACAGGGAGCACACACAGUAAGUAACGUGCUAUAAAACUCAAUUUGGAAAACAGGCACAGCAGACUUGAGAUUAAAGCAAUCAACAUUGUGACUAGCAACUAUUAAGCAGGUAUAAUACACCAAUUUUAGUUUAACACACUCUGGUCAUAUCUGUCAUUAUCUCAACCCUUCAUGCCCCACGUUGGGCGCCAAAAGGACUGUUGUGGUUUAACCCAGUCAGCAGCUAAACACCACACAGCCAUUCGCUCACCCUCCCCCCUCCUUCUCUGGGAUGGGGGAGAGAAACGGGAAAGUGAAGCCUGUGAGCUGAGAUAAAGACAGUUUAUUAAGACAGGAAAAUAAUAAUAAUAAUAUUAAUAAUAGUACUACUACUAAUAAUGUGUACAAAACAAGUGAUGCACAAUGCAAUUGCUCACCACCCGUUGAUCGCUGCCCAGCCUAUCCCCAGGCAGCCGGCCUCCCACCCCAGCUAGCCACCCCUAUAUAUUGUUUAGCAUGACGUCAGAUGGUAUGGAAUACCACUUUGGCCAAUUUGGGUCAGCCGUUCUCGGUCUGUCCCCUCCCAGAUCCUGCUGCACCCCUAGUCUGCCUGCUGGCAGGACAGAGUGAGAGGCUGAAAAGUCCUUGGCUUGGUGUAAGCACUGCUCUGCAACAAUUAAAACAUCAGCAUGUUAUCAGCACUCUUCUCAUCCUAAUCCAAAACAUAGCACCCUACCAGCUACUAGGAGGAAAAUUAACUCUGUCCUAACUGAAACCAGGACACACGUGGGCACAGUGUAUAUUCCAACAGUGUCUGUAAGUUAACAUAUACAGUAUAUUUUCACUUUCUAGUGUUUCUUGCAGUACCUUUAGUAUCCAAAAAUCUGAACAGUAAAACACAGAUCCAGUAAGAGGAUAUACAUAUAUAAGUACCUACAUAUGUUCAGUUCAGAAGCUUGAGCUCCAUGCUUUAACUUUUUGUUUGACAUUUAAGUAAGGUGCCUGAAAACAUAUGCAGUUUUGCCUUCUGGCAUAAGUCACAACUGUGUCCAACCCCUGAGUAUCCAGCAGUGAUAAAGCGAUUUUAGCAUUUUCAUGCCCAACAGAGAAGAGAACAUGUACAUUGUUUGGAUACUGAAGAACAAAUAUUAAAAUACCUAAAAGAGAGAGACGUAUUUCUAACCACACAAUGUCAUGAUGACAUUUACAACCUAACUGCUAAAACUGCAGGGCUGCUUCAUGAGUUUAAAAGGAAAAUUAUCCUCAGAACCCGUUAACCUACUUGAAUCAAUAGUCUGGGUCCACUUCCUACUGGAUAUAUGCUCACAGAAUAUCUGGCAGCAUCAGCUAAGGAGUGAGUAAGCAUAAAAUAAGUUACUUCCAUCAUUAGAAAUCGUCUUCCUACAUUAGUUUUAAGGAACAUUGGUAAGAGUUGGAGGAAGAUAACACUGGUAUUGAUUGCAAUCCAAAUCAGUGUUCGCAUAUACCAGUAGUAAAACCAUAUCUAUCUAUCUUAGGUUUCAUGUGUGUAUGUGCGUGUAUACACAUGCAUAUAUAUGUACACAAUGGUUGCUUUGUUAAGCUGCUCAUUGCAUUAUUUUUAAUGCUAGUAAAUAUAUAAUGUCAGUCUACUUGGGAAAGCAAGUAAAUCAGAGUAAGAAGAAUUUGGAAAGAUGAUGAUAAUUGGGAUGUUAAAUGUUCAUUGGUUAAAUGCAACAAUAAGCCAUACUAACUCCUUGAGACAUUGUUUACUUGCUUUACAGAUAAGGAUAAAUUCACUAAAAGAUUUUGAGGUGAUGUCCACAGAAUACUAUAAAAUAAAUAAUUAACUUGGACAGAAAUCUGUGAGAAA
RNAcentral lists this long non-coding RNA (2594 nucleotides) under Anser cygnoides (Swan goose). RNAcentral describes it as "lncRNA (ENSACDG00005012654.1)". The record is from RNAcentral. Lineage: Eukaryota; Metazoa; Chordata; Aves; Anseriformes; Anatidae.